Ribosomal RNA from Mustela putorius furo (domestic ferret), 94 nucleotides. The record is from Ensembl. Lineage: Eukaryota; Metazoa; Chordata; Mammalia; Carnivora; Mustelidae.
UCUCCAGCUCCAGCCACUUUGCAAACAAUGCCUAAUCUUGUCUGAUCUUGGAAGCUAAACAGGGUUGGGCCAGUUUAGUACUUGGAUGGGAGAC